CUUGAUCAGUUGAAUGAUGUGUAAAACAUCAAAAGAGAAAGAGGUCUGCACACAUGGGGAACAAGAAACACAGAUCUCUCCACUGCUGGUAAAGUGGAAGACGAGAGCUGCAGGCCUAAUCACUCAAGAGCACAUUUCCUGCCUUCUGCAUGAUGAGAUGAAGCCAACUGAAACUGUCAAAGGCUAAUAUUUAACCCGAAGCUCAUUCAUUUUCAGCAGAAAACACACAGGGUUUAUCUGCACACAUAUCCGAACUGCAACAAUAUCCCAGCCUGGCGGGUUAAAAUCUCGGAUGUUGAGCAGCUCUUUAUUGUGGGCAAUAGGUGUGCUUUGCAAAAUGGUGAUAACAAAGACAAAAUGGUGUCAGGGACAUCUGUAAAAAAAAAAAGAAAAAAAGAAGAAAAAAAGAAAUCACAAAUGUUUCACAGGUAAGGUAUGAGAAUCAGGAUUGCUUAGCAACAGCAGUACAAAAAAAAAAAAGACUCGCUCAUGUGUGGUAAGCAGAGAACCGGCCGUGCUGCCACCUAGCGGUGGCCUGACGGCACUUGCAGGAGGGACACCGGCACUUGAAAGCUCAGUCCUCAGAGGCAUACAUGCGCAGUAAGAAGAAGCUGCAGCUUUCGUGCAACGUGUGAACCACGCGAAUGAAGAAGGGCUUUAUUUUAAAAGAGGAACUGAGAGGAACACAAUUACUGCCAUAGGAGGACAUCGGCUGCUGUAGACGAGGAACAGAUAAAGAUGGGGCCCUGGACACAUACUGAAGAUGGAGAAGCACGUAGCUGCCAGAUGCAACUUUGGAUAAAUAGCACAUGUACCUGCAUGUUCUCGUUUGCA
Long non-coding RNA from Haplochromis burtoni (Burton's mouthbrooder), 834 nucleotides. RefSeq lists it as uncharacterized. Lineage: Eukaryota; Metazoa; Chordata; Actinopteri; Cichliformes; Cichlidae. The record is from RefSeq and is a predicted model, not a curated record. The transcript is spliced from 2 exons.